GCUAACUACAAUAUCGUAAUACGUUUGAAAGUAAUACGUUAUAUUCUUUAUUUGUGAAUCAGGAAAUUGUAAUUGAUGCAAGGUUUGUUAUACCUUAUCACAGGGAUUAACAGGCCCUGUAAAGUUGCAGAUAUGGCUGCUUUUUGUGUGGUAUCUACACACAUGAUGGGGGUAGUAAGGUGCUUUUGUAAGUGAAAUGUUUAAUUAUUGAUAUAUUUUCACUGAGUGAUUCCCUCUGGCUUUUUUUUUUUUUUUUUUUUUUUUUUCAUGAGCAUCCUCUCAAAAUUUAGAUGAAUAACAACAUGAGGUUAUCUGCAAAUGUUUGUUACCACAUUAAAUAUGGACUUAAACAUCUUCAGGUGAGCAACAAGAGUGGGCACACAUUGCAUUUCCUUCAAUGCACUGACACAUUCCUAAAUCAAAGAAAAAGUGGGCAAUCUCCCAGGGCCCUGAGACUUGGUUGUAAAGUAGCUAGUGUUUUGUGCAGUGUGGCUAUUGGACCUGAUUCUAGAGAUUGGUUUUACUCUUGAGCAGUCCAGAGCAGAGCUGCAUCCUGGGACUUUUUCCUAGUUGACUGACACCCCCAUCCAUUGUCUGGUUUAUCGUAGUCCAAUCUUGACAGAACUUUGAGUAUCCUACAGCUGUCUGUGAUGUACAGAAUUAGCCUUCAGACCAGUGACUGUGGAACAAAACGUCCCCAGUAACAUAGCAACUGAUGACCUUUGAAAGAGCCCAAUUUCAUUGUGGGAAUCUGUUUUCAGAGGCGCAUAGAAAUCUGUCGAUGUGCCCUUGAGCAAGGCACUGAUUGCACCUAAUUGCUCCUGUAUGUCGCUCUGGAUAACAGCAUCUGCUAUAUGAAACAAAUGAACAUGUAAUCAUUUAGGGAAGAGGGACAAUAUCCAUGACUGGUGAAAAAAAGAUUUAUAACAGAAUAAAUGUAAAGCAUGUAAAAGGAACAGGAAAUACAGCUGAUGUCACAAGAGAGACAAGGUUAAAAUAUGCUAAUUCUAACUGUAGGUAUUAAGAGCAGUGUAAAUAACGUGAAAGCAUUUAAUGUGCUUUUUGGCAGCAUUCUCCAUAAGUACACAUUGUGUUCCAUUGUGAAGACUUGGGCUUGCUGCACAAAGGUUUGGGAAAGUUGUGGUGGAAUGUAAAAAAAAAAAAAACUAAAAAAACAACAGACAUCAAUCUUUCACCUGGCAUCACCCUUUGGUAAUAAUGUUUUUUGUCCUAGGGCAGUAGCAGGCCUGAUUGAUGAUCCAGGGUGAUUGUUUUCAUCCAUCAUGUCUUGAGAGGCCAGGUAAGGAGCCAGGCAGGGGGGAACUAAGAAAUCACAGGCUAACUCGUGAUUGAACGUUGUGGGGGGAGCAAAUGUCAAGCCGCCCCUCUCUGUCUGGAGCCUGGUUUGAUAUGGUUUUGUUAUACAAAAAAACUAUACAUUGAUGUGCAUUGGCUUUCUAAUCUUAAUCUCUUGUUUAACUUUGUUUUUCCCUCACUGCUUAUAUAUUUAUAUAUUUUCUAAAUCGUCCCC
Oncorhynchus tshawytscha (Chinook salmon) is the source of this 1531-nucleotide long non-coding RNA. NCBI's taxonomy places the organism in Eukaryota, Metazoa, Chordata, Actinopteri, Salmoniformes, Salmonidae. The record is from Ensembl.